CCUACGGGUGGCAGCAGUGGGGAAUAUUGGGCAAUGGGCGCAAGCCUGACCCAGCAACGCCGCGUGAAGGAAGAAGGCGUUCGGGUGGUAAACUUCUUUUAAGAGGGCAGAGCAGAAGACGGUACCUCUUGAAUAAGCCACGGCUAACUACGUGCCAGCAGCCGCGGUAAUACGUAGGUGGCAAGCGUUGUCCGGAUUUAAUGGGUGUAAAGGGCGUGGAGCCGGGCUGCCAAGUCAGAUGUGAAAUUCCGGGGCUCAACCCCGGACCUGCAUUUGAAACUGGUGGUCUUGAGUAUCGGAGAGGCAGGCGGAAUUCCUAGUGUAGCGGUGAAAUGCGUAGAUAUUAGGAGGAACACCAGUGGCGAAGGCGGCCUGCUGGACGACAACUGACGGUGAGGCGCGAAAGCGUGGGGAGCAAACAGGAUUAGAUACCCGGGUAGUC
RNAcentral lists this ribosomal RNA (442 nucleotides) under uncultured bacterium. Its description in RNAcentral is "partial 16S ribosomal RNA". It matches the Rfam family "Bacterial small subunit ribosomal RNA", at positions 338 to 795 of the family's 1533-position model. The record is from RNAcentral.